GGACCAUCUCCUAAGGCUAAAUACUCUCUAGUGACCGAUAGUGAACCAGUACCGUGAGGGAAAGGUGAAAAGCACCCCGGAAGGGGAGUGAAAUAGAACCUGAAACCGUGUGCUUACAAGUAGUCAGAGCCCGUUAAUGGGUGAUGGCGUGCCUUUUGUAGAAUGAACCGGCGAGUUACGAUUUGAUGCAAGGUUAAGCAGUAAAUGUGGAGCCGUAGCGAAAGCGAGUCUGAAUAGGGCGUUUAGUAUUUGGUCGUAGACCCGAAACCAGGUGAUCUACCCUUGGUCAGGUUGAAGUUCAGGUAACACUGAAUGGAGGACCGAACCGACUUACGUUGAAAAGUGAGCGGAUGAACUGAGGGUAGCGGAGAAAUUCCAAUCGAACCUGGAGAUAGCUGGUUCUCUCCGAAAUAGCUUUAGGGCUAGCCUCAAGUGAUGAUUAUUGGAGGUAGAGCACUGUUUGGACGAGGGGCCCCUCUCGGGUUACCGAAUUCAGACAAACUCCGAAUGC
This 511-nucleotide ribosomal RNA is filed under the name Staphylococcus aureus. Its description in RNAcentral is "partial 23S ribosomal RNA". It matches the Rfam family "Bacterial large subunit ribosomal RNA", at positions 450 to 963 of the family's 2925-position model. Lineage: Bacteria; Bacillati; Bacillota; Bacilli; Caryophanales; Staphylococcaceae. The record is from RNAcentral.